This 338-nucleotide ribosomal RNA is filed under the name uncultured bacterium. RNAcentral's name for it is "bacterial SSU rRNA". It matches the Rfam family "Bacterial small subunit ribosomal RNA", at positions 9 to 347 of the family's 1533-position model. The record is from RNAcentral.
GAGUUUGAUCCUGGCUCAGAUUGAACGCUGGCGGCAUGCCUUACACAUGCAAGUCGAACGGCAGCACGGGAGCAAUCCUGGUGGCGAGUGGCGAACGGGUGAGUAAUAUAUCGGAACGUGCCCAGUCGUGGGGGAUAACGUAGCGAAAGCUACGCUAAUACCGCAUACGAUCUACGGAUGAAAGCGGGGGACUCGCAAGAGCCUCGCGCGAUUGGAGCGGCCGAUAUCAGAUUAGGUUGUUGGUGAGGUAAAAGCUCACCAAGCCUGCGAUCUGUAGCUGGUCUGAGAGGACGACCAGCCACACUGGAACUGAGACACGGUCCAGACUCCUACGGGAG